This 301-nucleotide ribosomal RNA is filed under the name uncultured bacterium. RNAcentral describes it as "partial 16S ribosomal RNA". It matches the Rfam family "Bacterial small subunit ribosomal RNA", at positions 509 to 807 of the family's 1533-position model. The record is from RNAcentral.
CAGUAGCCGCGGUAAUACGGAGGGGGCUAGCGUUGUUCGGAAUUACUGGGCGUAAAGCGCACGUAGGCGGCUUGGUAAGUUAGAGGUGAAAGCCCGGAGCUCAACUCCGGAAUUGCCUUUAAGACUGCCGAGCUAGCAGGUGAGAGAGGUAAGUGGAAUUCCGAGUGUAGAGGUGAAAUUCGUAGAUAUUCGGAAGAACACCAGUGGCGAAGGCGGCUUACUGGCUCAUACUGGACGCUGAGGUGCGAAAGCGUGGGGAGCAAACAGGAUUAGAGACCCCAGUAGUCCCUGUCUCUUAUAC